CAUUCCUUCACUGGCAUUGGAGCCUACUUCUUUUGAAUUCCAGCACAUACGGAAGACCAGCUGAGACACCCAGCCCAUGGGACUGAACAACAACUUAGAUUCUUGAAUUUUUCAUCCAUAACUACCUAUUGUUGGAUAAAUUGAACUGCAGCCUCCCCUCGCUCAGACAUGGUGAACGGGUAUUGGUAACACGGGUGUUACUGCAACAAAUGGAGGUCCCACCGAGAUCCGAGAAAGAAGGAAUGAGCUGACGGACACUCUUGGAAGGCUGGCCAGCAUUUUAAAGAAAAAAGAAAAAGGUCUACAAAAUCUUAUUUUCUAAUAACUCCAAAAGAAGAAGUCAAUUCCUGGUCCUGGACUUUAAUUCACCUCUUUUGUCCAAUAAGAGUAUUGUUGGUAAUUAUUAAUAAUUUAUUUCCCUGGUGAU
Long non-coding RNA from Peromyscus leucopus (white-footed mouse), 427 nucleotides. RefSeq lists it as uncharacterized. The record is from RefSeq and is a predicted model, not a curated record. Lineage: Eukaryota; Metazoa; Chordata; Mammalia; Rodentia; Cricetidae. The transcript has 3 exons.